This 468-nucleotide ribosomal RNA is filed under the name uncultured bacterium. RNAcentral's name for it is "partial 16S ribosomal RNA". It matches the Rfam family "Bacterial small subunit ribosomal RNA", at positions 28 to 507 of the family's 1533-position model. The record is from RNAcentral.
GACGAACGCUGGCGGCGUGCUUAACACAUGCAAGUCGAACGGAAAGGCCCUGCUUUUGUGGGGUGCUCGAGUGGCGAACGGGUGAGUAACACGUGAGUAACCUGCCCUUGACUUUGGGAUAACUUCAGGAAACUGGGGCUAAUACCGGAUAGGAGCUCCUGCUGCAUGGUGGGGGUUGGAAAGUUUCGGCGGUUGGGGAUGGACUCGCGGCUUAUCAGCUUGUUGGUGGGGUAGUGGCUUACCAAGGCUUUGACGGGUAACCGGCCUGAGAGGGUGACCGGCCACAUUGGGACUGAGAUACGGCCCAGACUCCUACGGGAGGCAGCAGUGGGGAAUAUUGCACAAUGGGCGGAAGCCUGAUGCAGCAACGCCGCGUGCGGGAUGACGGCCUUCGGGUUGUAAACCGCUUUCGCCUGUGACGAAGCGUGAGUGACGGUAAUGGGUAAAGAAGCACCGGCUAACUACGUG